This 75-nucleotide transfer RNA is filed under the name Candidatus Karelsulcia muelleri. Its description in RNAcentral is "tRNA-Phe". It matches the Rfam family "tRNA". Rfam says of the family: Transfer RNA (tRNA) molecules are approximately 80 nucleotides in length. Their secondary structure includes four short double-helical elements and three loops (D, anti-codon, and T loops). Further hydrogen bonds mediate the characteristic L-shaped molecular structure. tRNAs have two regions of fundamental functional importance: the anti-codon, which is responsible for specific mRNA codon recognition, and the 3' end, to which the tRNAs corresponding amino acid is attached (by aminoacyl-tRNA synthetases). tRNAs cope with the degeneracy of the genetic code in two manners: having more than one tRNA (with a specific anti-codon) for a particular amino acid; and 'wobble' base-pairing, i.e. permitting non-standard base-pairing at the 3rd anti-codon position. Lineage: Bacteria; Pseudomonadati; Bacteroidota; Flavobacteriia; Flavobacteriales. The record is from RNAcentral.
GGUAUCUUAGCUCAGUUUGGUAGAGCAACGGACUGAAAAUCCGUGUUUGCCUCGGUUCAAUUCCGAGAGGUACCA